Molecule: RNA transcript, 4202 nt
Organism: Passer montanus (Eurasian tree sparrow)
Lineage: Eukaryota; Metazoa; Chordata; Aves; Passeriformes; Passeridae
Gene: SPC25
Gene name: SPC25 component of NDC80 kinetochore complex
Exons: 7
Source: RefSeq, a predicted model, not a curated record
CGGGCGGGCGGCCGUGAGGGGCGGCGGGGAACCGCCCUGGCGGGGGACCGAGCGCUGGGAGAGCUGCGAGGGACACGCGGCUCCCGCUGAGCCGGUGGCGACAACUGGCGCGAAGAGGUUUGAACGAGAAGGCGGGGCCGUAAAAGCAACCGUGAGCGUUUGCGCCCCGCUGCCACUGCCUCCCGUGGGCUGAGGCCGCCGCCGUUCCCGCCAGGUUUGGUACGGCGCUAUGGGAAACGCACAGGCGGAAGAUGAAGUAGCGCUCUUUGAACGAGAUAUGAAAGAGUUUUGGAUCCAGUUUAAAAUCAGUUAUGGCACUGAACAGAACAAUCAGACGUCAGCGCUGAGAGAUUUGUGCAAGGAGACUUUAGAAGCUCUUUCAGAGAAAUGGUCCAAGAAGCUGAAAGAAGAGGAUGUGAUGAUUGACAAAAUUCACGAGUAUAACAAUGAGAUUCUCCAGCAGAGCAAAUAUGUAGCAGAAAAGGAAGAGGAGUUGACAGAAAUAAAAUCAAAGCUAAAUCAAGAACAAGAGCAGCAGAAGAACUUGACUGACAGCAUCCAAGAGCUUAAAGAAGAGUUGAUGAAGAAAAUGGAAAUAAAAGCUUCUAAAAAUAAAGCUGCCAAGGAGAAAAUGGAACAAGUGAGCAAGAUUAAAACACUGUUUAAAGAGCAUCUUGCACUGGAGAUGCGCAGAAUUCCAGACGAGCAAUUACAGUUUAUAUUCAGACACAUUGACCACAAAGAUCCUGAUAAGCCAUACACGUGUACCAUUUCCAUAAAUGAACAAGGGGACUAUGAAGUGACUUCCUGUACUCCUCCUCUGGACUGUAUUGCAGAGUUACAGCUCAAACUGAGAGAAACUAACAAUUUUUCUGCAUUUGUUGCCAACAUCAGAAAAGCUUUCACUGCUUUAUCAUACAAACAGUCUGCAUGAAACUGGUUUGUACCUCUCCUUCUGGCUGUAGAGCAUCCUUACUCCCUUCCUGUUGCUGAAAUGGUGUAUUUAUCCAUGUCUGACUCCUAAUUUCUAAAUAAAGAUAAUGAAAGCAGUAUUUUAGUCUACUGUUAUCUGGAUACAUUUUGGAUCAUUCUUUGAACAACAGUAUCUGUAACUGCAGCCUUAACUGAAUGUCUCUGGACAGGUAAGCUUUGAUUACAUGCAUUAAUGAUGUAAUGGUUUGUAUUUAGCUGCCCUGGGGAGAUAAUAAAAAUGAAGUACCUUCUGUAGUUUGUUUAUCUUUUCCAAAAGCAUUGAUGUCUCUUUCAAGUUUCUGUGUAGUUGAAAUAGACCUGAAACCUAUUAAAAAAAUAACGUGUGCUGAAGCCUAGCACUUACUUCAGUUACUUGUGUCAUAGGUCAUUGUCUUGAUUUUUACCCUAAUUUGUAUCUACAGUGUUAGCAUUUCUAUUCAUGCUUUUCUUCUGGUCUGUUAAACUUUGUCAUUGGAAAUCUUUUGACGUGGCAAAGCCUGAAGUAUAAUGUAUUCAAGUAUGAAAUAUAGUGGUGACAGAUAAAUAAUGUAAGUAUUUUGCAUCUUAUCAAGAAGACUAUUACUACCACAAUGCUCAGCUUUGAUUGAAAAUAUUCUUUUUCUAUUUUGUAAAGUGUUUUUUUAAAGAAUAUUUAAAAGGACUAUUGCAACAAGAAAGGAAAGGCUUAAUUUGAUAAUAUACCACAGUUCAUAUAAGGUGUUGACUUAAGUUCAGUCCUAGAAAUUGUAGUGAAUCAAAAACUAAUAUUAUGACCUAGUCAUUUAGGCAUGUUUAAAUCUGGUCAUCAGAUCUUAUCUGAUCAGAUAUUCUUAGUACAGUUGGGAAUAUUUCCCAGUCACAUGUGAACUGUAUUUUAAAUAAUUUAGUUUGUCUGAACUUAACCAUAUAGCUUGAUGGAUAUACCACAGACUGCACCCUCGUCUUCUAGGAUCAAAACUUAACAAAAAAAGUAAAAGAAAUAAUCUUCCAUUUCUUCUUCCCUAUGGGGCACAAUUUGCUGCUUUCUAAGUAGUGCAUCAUUUUCCUUGGUGUGUCCUAUUGAUUUUUUUUUCCCUUGUGUUACAGCCAGUUAUACACAAAGAACAGUAAAAGGUGCCAACUGAUUACACUGCACUUUUGGAACUGAGUAGCAGCAGAGAAUUACUAAGCAUUACUAUAAUGACAUCUCAAAUAAAACAAAUCCUCAGUUUCUGCUUUGUGUCGUCUCUCAGGACAAACCCUGUGUCCUCUCUGAGAAUUCUGUAACUGGCAAUGGUCCAAAGAGGCGAGUGAUGGGAGCCUGACUUCAGGGGUCUCAUUGUUCAUUAGUGGAUUUGCUUCCUUUUCAGUCAAAUUAACAGGAUUUAAGUUGCAGGUAUUUCUUUCAACUAAUUGCUUCUACCAUUAAGAGAAUGCUGUAGGCAUUUUUAUGGAUGUCAGUAGACUAGCCAGGGGGUUAAAAAAAUUUAUUGAGCCAGCAGUGCACUUCCCACUUGUGUCAUCUCUCUGAGGCAUUAUGGCUGCUGUUGGCGUCUCUCCCUUGUACAGAAGCCCUUCCACAGGUGAAGCCUGUCCCUUCCAGCUUCUCUCUAAUGGCAUUGCUCACAUUCAGAAUGACUACUCAUUUUGAAACAUAGCCUUGCCCUACGUGCUGUCUGUGCCAAGCACCUCUGUGCUGCUCUGAAAGGAAACUUCAGCAAGCUCAACCAAAUAGUUUACAGCUGUAGUAUGAAAGCAGAAAGACAGGCAGAACACAACCUCCUCCUUUCCAUGAUUUCCAAUGGAGCUGUUUAAUCAUGAAGGGUGUACGUAUUGCUCAGGCACCCUCUGUAACAUUUGUGAUUUGAUCAUGUUCACAGGAGAAAGAAACUGAAAUGCCUGGAGAAAGGAAGACAGAUGUUCAAACUUAGAGCCAUUUUCUUUUCUUGUUAAUCCCAGGCAUAAGUAGACAGUGACAGAAUGAAUUUUCAAGAUUGCUAUGCACAGAACAUAAAAUAUGUGACAACUACUUUAUUGGAAUAUGCAUUCUUAGAAAUGAUAUGCUAGAGAAUAUGAUGUGCCUGGUUAUAAAUGUCCUGUGCAUAUGUCUAAAGCAAGAAAUUGGGAAUAUUUAUUGUGUGCAAUAAAAACCUUUACAACUCCUUCUGGAGCUAGAAUAAUGUGCCUACUUAUAUUUGCCAGAGCAAAUCAGACAGAGAUCUUACUUCCACUAAAAGAGAGCCAGGUAUUCCAAAAGUGGGUUUAAGCUAAGAAAGUGUACACAAUAGAUGUGCUUCUUAUUCUAAAAUAUGAGUAAAACUGGCCUGUGACUUCUAUGAAACAGCCUCAUUCUAGUGGAAGAUCUGUCUUGACAUUUUAAAACCUUUGUUUUAAAUGUACAGUUAGUACUUAUAGAAUGCCACACACCUGGAUCUGUGAUGAUUUGGAAUUUUUUAUUUCUAUUUUCUAUUUGUUAUGAAGCUUCACAAUAAAGUGAGAACAAAUAAUAGUAAAGACAACUAGGAUAACAGAACAGACUGACCCAACAGGUACAGCUAUUGAGAAGCUGAUAUGCUGGUUAGCAGACAGAUACAGACUGAAAUGUCCCAAAGAGCAGAUGGGAAAGCUCUUGAGCUCAAAAGCAAUAUGCAGCUUAGGGCUGUGACACACAAUCAGCUAAUGCUGGUGCUCCAUUUAUUAGCAGGAUCUUAAGGCAGACAUAGAUUUUAAUGAAGGUCAGUAAAGGCUUUUUGAAUAAAUCAAUUUGCACAAUGCUGAACAUUGCUUUCCCUUUCAAAGUGCUGACCCACACUUAGCCACCAAGGGUCAAGUCUGAAAUGCAUGGGCUAUGAACUAAUGCUGACUAUACAGUAAACUGCGGAUGUACUGGUGCUCAGCACCGCAUCAAAUUUAUCUCAUGUUGUAAAAAUCUGGGGAAAAGCUGAAUUUAUGAGAUACUGGAAAUACACAAUGAAUUUAAAGACUGCUGGGAAGACAAAGUAAUAUUAAAUGUUAAUAGCAUAUGUAUUAAAUGUAUUUAAUCACUAUCGUUUGUGUGUUAGCUGGAGGUCAGAUUUGAAAAUAAAUCAAAUUACCGUGACACUCCUGGCUAACAGAACAGUUUUUUUACACACCUAUUCAAACAAGAGUGGAGGUGGUUACUCUUGGAUGUUGUUAGCUAUAUUUUGAAAAACAAACAGGUAUUGGCUACACUUGUGAAAAUAAAAAAAGACAUGGAAGUAUGCUGUGCU